UUCUAUUCGUCGCAAGAUAUACAGCCAAUUUAUUUGUUAUCCCGUUCGCGAGUUAUACUUUACACACUCUCUAUAAGAAUUCGUUCGAUCCGGAGGAUGAGCGUCUGGACCAAAUACGAAGAACAGGCGAGCGAAAACCAGGGCCUAAAACGCUGCGACUGUACAACCGAUGAUAACACAAGGAUCCAGGACAUCCACAGCGGGUACCCAGCGACGAUGUUUUAUUGGCCUGGUGAGCACAGCUGGUCGGCAGAAGUAUACGAGCGGCCGUGUGGCGUAUAGAUAGUUUCGGAAAAAAGGACCGAACGUUGAUUCGUAUUACAACGAUAUAUUGAG
Molecule: unclassified non-coding RNA, 336 nt
Filed under: Athalia rosae (coleseed sawfly)
Lineage: Eukaryota; Metazoa; Arthropoda; Insecta; Hymenoptera; Athaliidae
Description: misc RNA ENSAEAG00005000575.1
Source: RNAcentral